This 377-nucleotide ribosomal RNA is filed under the name Verrucomicrobia bacterium Tous-C9LFEB. Its description in RNAcentral is "bacterial SSU rRNA". It matches the Rfam family "Bacterial small subunit ribosomal RNA", at positions 1 to 372 of the family's 1533-position model. The record is from RNAcentral. Lineage: Bacteria; Pseudomonadati; Verrucomicrobiota.
UUUACGGAGAGUUUGAUUCUGGCUCAGAACGAACGCUGGCGGCGUGGAUAAGACAUGCAAGUCGAACGCGACUUAAUCGAUUAGCAAUAAUUGGUUAAGUUGAGUGGCGAAAGGGUGCGUAACACGUGGGAAUCUACCGAAAAGUGUGGGAUAGCUCGCCGAAAGGCGAAUUAAUACCGCAUGUGAUAGUAAUAUUAAAGCAGGGGAUCGUAAGACCUUGCGCUUUUUGAGGAGCCCGCGGCCUAUCAGUUAGUUGGCGAGGUAAAAGCUCACCAAGACUAAGACGGGUAGCUGGUCUGAGAGGACGACCAGCCACACUGGAACUGAGACACGGUCCAGACACCUACGGGUGGCAGCAGUCGAGAAUUUUUCACAAU